RNAcentral lists this ribosomal RNA (446 nucleotides) under uncultured bacterium. Its description in RNAcentral is "SSU rRNA". It matches the Rfam family "Bacterial small subunit ribosomal RNA", at positions 26 to 518 of the family's 1533-position model. The record is from RNAcentral.
AGAACGAACGCUGGCGGCAGGCCUAAUACAUGCAAGUCGAACGAUGUAGCAAUACAUAGUGGCGCACGGGUGAGUAACGCGUGGGAAUCUGCCCAUUAGUACGGAAUAACUGCGGGAAACUGCAGCUAAUACCGUAUACGCCCUUCGGGGGAAAGAUUUAUCGCUAAUGGAUGAGCCCGCGUAAGAUUAGCUAGUUGGUGGGGUAAAAGCCUACCAAGGCUACGAUCUUUAGCUGGUCUGAGAGGACGACCAGCCACACUGGAACUGAGACACGGUCCAGACUCCUACGGGAGGCAGCAGUAGGGAAUAUUGGACAAUGGGGGAAACCCUGAUCCAGCCAUGCCGCGUGAGUGAUGAAGGCCUUAGGGUUGUAAAGCUCUUUUACCAGGGAAGAUAAUGACGGUACCUGGAGAAUAAGUUCCGGCUAACUUCGUGUCAGCAGCCGC